AUCCGGCUGACGAGUCUCGAAUAAGACGAAACUCACGUCCUGGAU
Molecule: non-coding RNA, 45 nt
Organism: Schistosoma mansoni
Lineage: Eukaryota; Metazoa; Platyhelminthes; Trematoda; Strigeidida; Schistosomatidae
Source: Rfam